AAACGGCCGCGAGACUCAACCGUGCGAAGGUAGCGAAAUCACUUGUCUCCUAAAUAGAGACCUGUAUGAAAGGCCCAAUGAGAAAGAAACUGUCUCUUGAAGUUAGCCAAUGAAACUGAUCUGCCCGUGCAAAAGCAGGCAUAACAAAACAAGACAAAAAGACCCUGUGAAACUUAAAAUAAACGCCAAUAACAUGUCGAUAUUUUUAGGUUGGGGCAACCAAAGAGAAACAAAACCUCUAAAACACAUUAGACUAACAAGUCUAACCAAACCAAUAUGACCCAGUAAAACUGAUUAAUGAACCAAGCUACUCCAGGGAUAACAGCGCCAAAUUCUUGAAGAGUCCACAUCAACAAGAAUCCCUACGACCUCGAUGUUGGAUCAGGAUAACCCAACAGCGCAAAAG
RNAcentral lists this ribosomal RNA (406 nucleotides) under Agama picticauda. RNAcentral describes it as "partial 16S ribosomal RNA". It matches the Rfam family "Bacterial large subunit ribosomal RNA", at positions 1925 to 2561 of the family's 2925-position model. The record is from RNAcentral. Lineage: Eukaryota; Metazoa; Chordata; Lepidosauria; Squamata; Agamidae.